Perognathus longimembris pacificus (Pacific pocket mouse) is the source of this 131-nucleotide small nucleolar RNA. RefSeq annotates it as small nucleolar RNA SNORA9. The transcript has a single exon. The record is from RefSeq and is a predicted model, not a curated record. Lineage: Eukaryota; Metazoa; Chordata; Mammalia; Rodentia; Heteromyidae.
UUGCAAGCCUCCAGCGUGCUUGGGUCUGCUGUGACUCCUGCAUUCCUACAGUGCUUGCCAGAACAGUUUGAGAUGGUUUGAGGCCUUGCCCUGUUCCAUCCAGAGCAAGGUUAUAGAAAUUUCAAACAGUU